GAUAAACGCUGGCGGCGUGCCUAAUACAUGCAAGUCGAGCGAACGGACGAGAAGCUUGCUUCUCUGAUGUUAGCGGCGGACGGGUGAGUAACACGUGGAUAACCUACCUAUAAGACUGGGAUAACUUCGGGAAACCGGAGCUAAUACCGGAUAAUAUUUUGAACCGCAUGGUUCAAAAGUGAAAGACGGUCUUGCUGUCACUUAUAGAUGGAUCCGCGCUGCAUUAGCUAGUUGGUAAGGUAACGGCUUACCAAGGCAACGAUGCAUAGCCGACCUGAGAGGGUGAUCGGCCACACUGGAACUGAGACACGGUCCAGACUCCUACGGGAGGCAGCAGUAGGGAAUCUUCCGCAAUGGGCGAAAGCCUGACGGAGCAACGCCGCGUGAGUGAUGAAGGUCUUCGGAUCGUAAAGCUCUGUUAUUAGGGAAGAACAUAUGUGUAAGUAACUGUGCACAUCUUGACGGUACCUAAUCAGAAAGCCACGGCUAACUACGUGCAGCAGCCGCGGUAAUACGUAGGUGGCAAGCGUUAUCCGGAAUUAUUGGGCGUAAAGCGCGCGUAGGCGGUUUUUUAAGUCUGAUGUGAAAGCCCACGGCUCAACCGUGGAGGGUCAUUGGAAACUGGAAAACUUGAGUGCAGAAGAGGAAAGUGGAAUUCCAUGUGUAGCGGUGAAAUGCGCAGAGAUAUGGAGGAACACCAGUGGCGAAGGCGACUUUCUGGUCUGUAACUGACGCUGAUGUGCGAAAGCGUGGGGAUCAAACAGGAUUAGAUACCCUGGUAGUCCACGCCGUAAACGAUGAGUGCUAAGUGUUAGGGGGUUUCCGCCCCUUAGUGCUGCAGCUAACGCAUUAAGCACUCCGCCUGGGGAGUACGACCGCAAGGUUGAAACUCAAAGGAAUUGACGGGGACCCGCACAAGCGGUGGAGCAUGUGGUUUAAUUCGAAGCAACGCGAAGAACCUUACCAAAUCUUGACAUCCUUUGACAACUCUAGAGAUAGAGCCUUCCCCUUCGGGGGACAAAGUGACAGGUGGUGCAUGGUUGUCGUCAGCUCGUGUCGUGAGAUGUUGGGUUAAGUCCCGCAACGAGCGCAACCCUUAAGCUUAGUUGCCAUCAUUAAGUUGGGCACUCUAAGUUGACUGCCGGUGACAAACCGGAGGAAGGUGGGGAUGACGUCAAAUCAUCAUGCCCCUUAUGAUUUGGGCUACACACGUGCUACAAUGGACAAUACAAAGGGCAGCGAAACCGCGAGGUCAAGCAAAUCCCAUAAAGUUGUUCUCAGUUCGGAUUGUAGUCUGCAACUCGACUACAUGAAGCUGGAAUCGCUAGUAAUCGUAGAUCAGCAUGCUACGGUGAAUACGUUCCCGGGUCU
RNAcentral lists this ribosomal RNA (1371 nucleotides) under uncultured bacterium. Its description in RNAcentral is "bacterial SSU rRNA". It matches the Rfam family "Bacterial small subunit ribosomal RNA", at positions 28 to 1381 of the family's 1533-position model. The record is from RNAcentral.